Molecule: long non-coding RNA, 636 nt
Organism: Anthonomus grandis grandis
Lineage: Eukaryota; Metazoa; Arthropoda; Insecta; Coleoptera; Curculionidae
Exons: 3
Source: RefSeq, a predicted model, not a curated record
AAUUUAAAGCUCACAUAGAACUCUGGUAAUAUAAGGAAAACCAAAGGUGUAUACCUAAAAUUAUGACAAAUGGAUAUAUCAUAGUUGUAAGUUAAACAUAGAACCUUAGAAUAUAAAUGUUUAAUAAAAUAAUAAAUAUUACAGGGUUUUAUAUACUAACAUAGAACCCUGCAAAUGUUGGGUUAUGUUGCUUUGUUUAUAAUUCAUUUUAAAACGUUUAUCGGAGCAGAGCAAGUGUUUGUUGAGAAGUUUAUUUAAAAAUAUGGCAUUAAAUGAGACUGAUAUUAGUGAUAGUUACGGUUAUGAUUCUGACCAAGACAAGGAAUAUAUAUAUUACCUGAAAAAUCAAAAAAGAAAAAAGAAUGCAGAAUUAAAGUUCGUGGUCGUUAUAUUAACAUUUCAACCCGAUCCAGUAGCAGUGAAAGCGAAUGUGAAGAGUCAGACUUAGAAAGCCAUUUAACUAGAAACAAUCCUGGCUGCUCUACUAGCUCGUAUAAAGCAUGCAAUUCUGCAAUGCAAUUUAAAGUAAACAGCAAAUUUGAGAUUAAAAAAUCUUCUCAUCCAUCUUCUGUUCAGCUGCAAACAAAUUUUAAUAGGUAAAAAAUUGUUAUUGUUUUAUUUGGUUUAAAGUAUUUU